This 522-nucleotide long non-coding RNA is filed under the name Naja naja (Indian cobra). Lineage: Eukaryota; Metazoa; Chordata; Lepidosauria; Squamata; Elapidae. The record is from RNAcentral.
GUGACAUGGGACUUUGAAACGUAUUAGUUAUCCCGGCAAGCCUUGCACUUUCUUUUCUUUUAACCGAUUAUCCCGAGCAAGAUGUCUAAGCGAGGACGCGGUGGUUCCUCUGGUGCGAAAUUUCGCAUUUCACUUGGACUCCCAGUGGGAGCUGUGAUCAACUGUGCAGAUAAUACAGUUCAGAAUCCAAGAGGAGAGAACUCUAACUUUAUCCCUGUCCAGUUCAGCUGAAAAAAAAAAACAAUCCUAGUAAGUUCAGUUGUGAGCCAUAACAGUCAUAUUAAAAGAACAAGUGGUGCAAACUAGAAGCAAUGGGUUUUCCCUCCAAAAAGCACUUGUUGGGUCUGUUUUCCAAUGGCCCAGGGAGUUGUCGUGGAAGGGUAAAGAAACAGCAUUACUUUUGGGUGAGGUUACAGCUUGUGCUGUUGUUCCUCAAUCGGUGAUGCAACAAAAAUUUUCAGAAGUCUUUUAUAUCUUUGAUACAAAGUUUUUGUUAACAGCAAUAACUCCUUUUUUCACAGG